GAUCAUGGCUCAGGAUGAACGCUAGCUACAGGCUUAACACAUGCAAGUCGAGGGAAACGAGUAGACGAAAGCUUGCUUUUUCUAGGCGUCGACCGGCGGACGGGUGAGUAACGCGUGAGGAACCUGCCUCGGAGUGGGGAAUAACACAACGAAAGCUGUGCUUAAUACCGCAUAAUGCAGCUGGGUCGCAUGACUCUGGCUGCCAAAGAUUUAUCGCUCUGAGAUGGCCUCGCGUCUGAUUAGCUGGUUGCGGGUAAGGCCCACCAAGGCGACGAUCAGUAGCCGGACUGAGAGGUUGGCCGGCCACAUUGGGACUGAGACACGGCCCAGACUCCUACGGGAGGCAGCAGUGGGGAAUAUUGGGCAAUGGGCGCAAGCCUGACCCAGCAACGCCGCGUGAAGGAAGAAGGCCCUCGGGUUGUAAACUUCUUUUGUCAGGGACGAAGCAAGUGACGGUACCUGACGAAUAAGCCACGGCUAACUACGUG
RNAcentral lists this ribosomal RNA (488 nucleotides) under uncultured bacterium. RNAcentral describes it as "bacterial SSU rRNA". It matches the Rfam family "Bacterial small subunit ribosomal RNA", at positions 15 to 507 of the family's 1533-position model. The record is from RNAcentral.